This 26-nucleotide small RNA is filed under the name Bombyx mori (domestic silkworm). RNAcentral describes it as "ovarian small RNA-29188". The record is from RNAcentral. Lineage: Eukaryota; Metazoa; Arthropoda; Insecta; Lepidoptera; Bombycidae.
UCGUAUAGAGGGAGUAGAGGAUAGGA